UGGGGAGUAUUGCACAAUGGGGAAGGACCCUGAUGCAGCGACGCCGCGUGAAGGAAGAAGGCCUUCGGGUUGUAAACUUCUGUCGUACGGGACGAUAAUGACGGUACCGUACAAGAAAGCCACGGCUAACUACGUGCCAGCAGCCGCGGUAAAACGUAGGUGGCAAGCGUUGUCCGGAAUUACUGGGUGUAAAGGGAGCGCAGGCGGACUAGCAAGUUGGAAGUGAAAUCUAUGGGCUCAACCCAUAAAUUGCUUUCAAAACUGCCGGUCUUGAGUAGUGCAGAGGUAGGCGGAUUCCCGUGUACGGUGGAAUGCGUAGGAAUAUCGGGAGGAACACCAGUGGCGAAGGCGGCCUACUGGGCACCAACUGACGCUGAGGCUCGAAAGUAUGGGUAGCAAACAGGAUUAGAUACCC
RNAcentral lists this ribosomal RNA (415 nucleotides) under uncultured bacterium. RNAcentral describes it as "bacterial SSU rRNA". It matches the Rfam family "Bacterial small subunit ribosomal RNA", at positions 355 to 787 of the family's 1533-position model. The record is from RNAcentral.